UUCUUCUGUCAGUAUGGAGGAAUUCCUCGAGAUGAAGAGAGCCAGAGAUCAGUUGCUUGCAGAGAAAGCUGAAUUGGAGAUGAGUGUUGCUCGGAUUCAGAUGGCUAAUCAGGAGAUCAAAGUGAGGAUGGAGGAUCAGGAUAAGAAACAUGCCCUGGAAGCGAAGCGCUUUGAGAUGGAUACUGCUUACUAUGGGAAGAUCAGCCAAGCCUUAGCGUCAUCGACAAAGGAGCACGACAUCACUAAGGAGAAGCUAGCCAGAGCUUCAAAGGCCAUUGAGGAUGAGAAGAGAAGGCAAAUCCUCGUGAGGGAUUAGAGGGAAGAUAGAGUCAGAGUCCUCAUCACUGAGUGGGAGGCAAAGCUGAAGAUUAAGGAAACGGAGAAGGCAAAGAUCAUCGCUGAGAGAGAUCACUACAUUGCUGAGAGAGAUCAUUACUUCAGGCAGAUGAAGAUUCACCAGAAGGAGGUGGGGAGAUUACAACAGGAGAACACCGAGCUAAGGUUCGCCGUAGAGUUUGCGAAGAUGGCUGAUGAUAUAGGGCCUGCUGUGGGACCCUCAUCAGGGUAGACCUUUCUUAUUUGUGUGGAUUACCGUCAAGCCUGUUGACGGAAUUCACUUGCUUGUAUUUCCUUCCUGAUUCUGGAGAAUUGUAUUUGAUUUGUAUCAGCUUUGAUGUAUGACUAUGGCACUUAUUGUACACUUUUGAUAUGCAUGGUUGUUUUCAUUCA
This 729-nucleotide long non-coding RNA is filed under the name Lathyrus oleraceus (garden pea). Its description in RNAcentral is "Pisum sativum (pea) long non-coding RNA (PSAT_LNC035912)". The record is from RNAcentral. Lineage: Eukaryota; Viridiplantae; Streptophyta; Magnoliopsida; Fabales; Fabaceae.